This 71-nucleotide non-coding RNA is filed under the name Schistosoma mansoni. Lineage: Eukaryota; Metazoa; Platyhelminthes; Trematoda; Strigeidida; Schistosomatidae. The record is from RNAcentral.
UAUUUAACUCCGCCUGUAACCCCUCCGGAAGCCACUGCCGGUUUCAAGCCCGGAUAAAGGAGGAGGGUUUG